GUCUGAGAGAGCACAGCAGUAAAGGUUGUUCAAGGACCAGGCCCGGGAAAGCUCUGGGAGGAGUGGCUGCUAUCAACAGCAGAGCUGAUAUUGUCAGAGGAGUCCUGGGGGCAGCCGUGCCCUAGGGGGAGGUUUAGAGGUCUCUCUGAUCAGGGUGGCUACGGUCAGAUUCCUUUACAGAUGUCCCCAAAUGUCUCAGCCUCAGUUCCCUCUAGAUUAUUUCAAACAUUGGACUUUUUAUUGCCUCUGCUUUUUCUACUUUAAAACACCGACUGAAGAGAAAAACUAAAAGUCACUUUGCCCAAAACCUUCUCGUCCAAUUCACGACGAAAGGAAACAGAAACUGAAUGUUUCCUUGGAGGAGAAAGGAAACUGAAACCGAUGCCUUGGGUAUAAAGGACUGGCUGUGAUGCUCAGACGCGCCCAGUGCUCCCUGUCCUGGGGCUCGGUAGACACAGGAGCUCGCGCCGGUCCGGGCUCCUCUACUUUUUUCCUCAGUUGGGAGCGCGGCUCAGCGGCUCUUUGCACGUAGCAGGUCUGCCAUUUUCAUUACUAACUGCCAUUUAGAGCAACCAGACUAAAGGAUAUCUGCUGUAUGUAAUAAUCCCCAGUUUCUACUGGAGGCAGAAAUGGCACCAAGAACGAGUAAAUGCCCACAGAUUUUCGAGAAAAUUUCCCGGUUUAUUUCAGACAAAUUGCCAACAGCCGAAUAUUCCAGUUUAUUCAAUGAUUUUGUUGAGUCUGAAUUUUUUCUCAUUGAUGGGGAUUCAUUACUUAUCACAUGUAUAUGUGAGAAAUUAUUAGAGCCUGGACAGAGUCUCCAUUUCUUCUACCUGGUUGAACGCUAUCUCAUGGAUCUUUUUAAUAAAGGAGGGCAAUUUACCAUAAUUUUCUUCCAGGAUGCUGAGUACACAUAUUUCAGCUCUCCUGAACUUCUUCCUUUGAGAACUGCUUUAAUUCUUCAUCUUCAGAAAAAUACCUGCAUUAAUGUUUGUACUCAAUUUACUGGAUGCUUAUCAAAGGAGUGGAAAAUGUUCUUGGAUCAGAAUUACCCGUAUUUCCUGAUAGUUGCAGAUGAAGGCCUGAACCCUCUGCAAACCCAAAUUUUCAACCUUUUAAUCAUUCAGUGUUGGUCUAUGAGAGUCAAUGUUGUGCUUUUCUCUGGGCAAACAUCUGAUAUUCUUCGACUUUAUGCAUACUUUCUGCCAAGUCUAUACAGGAACCAGAACUUUUUCAAGGAGAAUGAAAAUGAGAUUCAAAUUGCUUAUAAAAAGCUCCUUAGAAAAUUGAGAAAAUACAGAGUUCUACCUUUAGCACCUCUUUUUAAAAACUUUGCAUUGAAACAUAUGAUGGAAGAGGCAUAUGAAACUGUAUCUCUGCUCCAACAAGUCUGGCCAAAAGGAUCUGACAUUCGACGUGUCAUUUGUGUCACUUCAUGCUCACUGGCUUUGGGAAUGUACCAUCGCUUCUUAGAAAACAGAAGAAAGACCCCCUCUGAAGAGACAACUGAUAACAAAACGGUGAACAGUGAUUACUUAACCCUGCGGGAUGUGGAAGAUCUGUGCAAACUGCAUUGUCUCAGUGUGGUUUUUCUACUACACGUACCUCUGUCUCAGAGAGCUUGCUCUAGAUUCAUCACUUCCAGUUGGACUGAAGACACUCAGAUAUUCUUUAAAAUGAAAAAGUGGUGUGACUAUUUCAUCCUAUGUAAUAUAAAUGUUUUGGAAUUUUGGAAUCUGAAUUUAAUUCAUCUUUCUGAUUUAAGUGAUGAGCCUUUGUUGAAGAAUAUCACUUUUUAUUAUGAAAAUGAAAAUGUAAAAGGUAUGACAUUACUAUAUAAUAAUAAUUAUACUUUAAUAUAUACAUGUACUAUAAAA
This 1877-nucleotide long non-coding RNA is filed under the name Fukomys damarensis (Damara mole-rat). RNAcentral's name for it is "lncRNA (ENSFDAG00000024558.1)". Lineage: Eukaryota; Metazoa; Chordata; Mammalia; Rodentia; Bathyergidae. The record is from RNAcentral.